This is a long non-coding RNA of Passer montanus (Eurasian tree sparrow), 628 nucleotides long. RefSeq lists it as uncharacterized. The record is from RefSeq and is a predicted model, not a curated record. NCBI's taxonomy places the organism in Eukaryota, Metazoa, Chordata, Aves, Passeriformes, Passeridae. The transcript has 4 exons.
UUUCGGCGGGCGCGGGGCAGCGGGAGCGGAGCUCUGCGUUCCCUCAGAAGGAGCGGGACUGGAGCCGGGACCGGCCUCGGCCUCUCCCGGCGGGGCCAGCGGGAAGCCGGUGCUGGAGGAGGCGGCUCCACCGCUGCGCCUUCCCCCGCCAUGCUGUGGCGCGGCUCCCUCGGGGCCGGUGCCGCUCCCCGCCGGCCCCGGCGCUGAGCGGCUGCGGCGGGAGGAGCCGAGCGAGCCUCACAAUGGACAGAAAAAUGAAAUGACCGGGAUGGUGUGACUUCAGGAAUGAAGGGUGAUCCUUCAGGAAAAGGCUGCCCAAACAAGCUUCAGCCACCUUGGUAAGUAGGCAGCCCUGAGCCCAGGCACAGCAGAGGAGCCCAGCCAGGUGAGCUGCACUGCUGGGAGCUGCCAGCUUGUGUUGCAGGUGAGCUGCAGUGCCCCAGCUUGUGUUGCAGAUUAUGCCUUGAGCUGCAGAAUGUCUGACAAACUGAGAACUGGUUGGCAGCAUCCACGUCUGAUGGCUUGGAGAUUCCUAAAACUUGAUCAGCUGUGUUUUCUCUACAUGGUUAAGAAGGAUUUAAAUAAAAAAAACAACUAAAUAAAGAUGCCACCUACAAGACUGAAAGGA